AGAGUUUGAUCCUGGCUCAGGAUGAACGCUGGCGGUAUGCUUAACACAUGCAAGUCGAACGGAAUCCUUAGGGAUUUAGUGGCGGACGGGUGAGUAACGCGUGAGAAUCUGCCUUCAGGUUCGGGACAACCACUGGAAACGGUGGCUAAUACCGAAUGUGCAGCAAUGUGAAAAAUUUAUUGCCUGAAGAUGAGCUCGCGUCUGAUUAGCUAGUAGGUGUGGUAAGAGCGCACCUAGGCGACGAUCAGUAGCUGGUCUGAGAGGAUGAUCAGCCACACUGGGACUGAGACACGGCCCAGACUCCUACGGGAGGCAGCAGUGGGGAAUUUUCCGCAAUGGGCGAAAGCCUGACGGAGCAAUACCGCGUGAGGGAGGAAGGCUCUUGGGUUGUAAACCUCUUUUCUCAAGGAAGAAAAAAAUGACGGUACUUGAGGAAUAAGCAUCGGCUAACUCCGUGCCAGCAGCCGCGGUAAUACGGAGGAUGCAAGCGUUAUCCGGAAUGAUUGGGCGUAAAGCGUCCGCAGGUGGCUAUGUAAGUCUGCUGUUAAAGAGUCUGGCUCAACCAGAUAAAGGCAGUGGAAACUACAUGGCUAGAGUGCGUUCGGGGCAGAGGGAAUUCCUGGUGUAGCGGUGAAAUGCGUAGAGAUCAGGAAGAACACCGGUGGCGAAAGCGCUCUGCUAGGCCGCAACUGACACUGAGGGACGAAAGCUAGGGGAGCGAAUGGGAUUAGAUACCCCUGUAGUCC
Molecule: ribosomal RNA, 746 nt
Filed under: uncultured cyanobacterium
Lineage: Bacteria; Bacillati; Cyanobacteriota
Description: bacterial SSU rRNA
Rfam family: Bacterial small subunit ribosomal RNA
Source: RNAcentral